Molecule: ribosomal RNA, 430 nt
Filed under: uncultured Verrucomicrobiota bacterium
Lineage: Bacteria; Pseudomonadati; Verrucomicrobiota
Description: bacterial SSU rRNA
Rfam family: Bacterial small subunit ribosomal RNA
Source: RNAcentral
AACGAACGCUGGCGGCGUGGAUAAGACAUGCAAGUCGAACGGGAUUGUCUUGGUAGCAAUAUUGAGGCAGUCUAGUGGCGAACGGGUGCGUAACACGUGAGAAUCAUCCUGGAAGUGGGGAAUAAUUCGCCGAAAGGCGGACUAAUACCGCAUGUGACCGCAAGGUCAAAGUGGAGGACCGCAAGGCUUCACGCUUCCAGACGAGCUCGCGGCCUAUCAGCUAGUUGGCGGGGUAACGGCCCACCAAGGCUUUGACGGGUAGCUGGUCUGAGAGGACGACCAGCCACACUGGGACUGAGACACGGCCCAGACACCUACGGGUGGCAGCAGUCGAGAAUCUUUCACAAUGGGGGCAACCCUGAUGGAGCGACGCCGCGUGGAGGAUGAAGGGAUUCGUCUUGUAAACUCCUGUCACUGCAGAACAAGGCUU